UGCGUAGGCGGCUUUGUAAGUCAGUGGUGAAAUAUGUCAGCUUAACUGAGAGGGUGCCAUUGAUACUGCAGAGCUUGAGUACAGAUGAGGUAGGCGGAAUUGACGGUGUAGCGGUGAAAUGCUUAGAUAUCGUCAAGAACACCUAUAGCGAAGGCAGCUUACUAGGCUGUAACUGACGCUGAGGCACGAAAGUGUGGGGAUCAAGCAGGAUUAGAUACCCUGGUAGUCCACACUGUAAACGUUGAUUACUCGCUGUGUGCGAUAUACAGUACGCGGCCAAGCGAAAGCGAUAAGUAAUCCACCUGGGGAGUACGCCGGCAACGGUGAA
This 328-nucleotide ribosomal RNA is filed under the name uncultured Bacteroidota bacterium. Its description in RNAcentral is "bacterial SSU rRNA". It matches the Rfam family "Bacterial small subunit ribosomal RNA", at positions 568 to 898 of the family's 1533-position model. The record is from RNAcentral. Lineage: Bacteria; Pseudomonadati; Bacteroidota.